UUCACUCCAGCAUUAUUCUGUUGCAGGGCCUAUGAAGCAGAUUGCUAACAAAAAGGGUUGCUCAGAGGGUUUCUUUCAAUAAACCCAAAGGAAAAGAGUCAAGAUCUCCAUAAUGAUUUUGUUUCGUUUUGAUUUCCGUACAAAGUAAGAGGUGAACCAACUAAAGUGAACUCUGCAGUAUGGACAUCUCCCUGGGGCACCUCAAGGUCAGAUGGUGUUCAUGACUUGGAUGCACAUCAGUGCUUUAAGCUUGAUGCAUGGGUGACAUUCAGCACUUCAGGGUACUUUCUAUGGGUAUAGAAGAUGUAAGUUUGAAUCCUGUGUGGAUGUACAGGACUCUGAAUCCCAUCUUCUGGAUGAAGGCUGUAGCAAAUAAAGCUCUCCUGUA
Phasianus colchicus (ring-necked pheasant) is the source of this 388-nucleotide long non-coding RNA. RefSeq lists it as uncharacterized. NCBI's taxonomy places the organism in Eukaryota, Metazoa, Chordata, Aves, Galliformes, Phasianidae. The record is from RefSeq and is a predicted model, not a curated record.